CAAGGCUUUUGGGAGCUUGUUGGAAUCUCUCCCAUGUCCUUCUGGCCAUAAGAAGCAAUGAGGAUUCUCUGGGUCUUGUCCAAUGGUCAGGCGUCUCACAUCAUCCGGCCGCCCAGUCGGUUCCAGAGGAUCGAGCCGUCUGUCUCUCCAGAACAAAGACCACUGUUAAACUAGGCUGGAGCAACAGAAGAUGGUUAUGAUGACUGAAAUGAAGCAACCUCAUGUACAGUAAAUGUAAAUCACAUGCCACAGUACGAAUUAUAGAAAUGUUCUUGCUCAAUCUAUGUGGGCCAAAUUGGAGCCCAGGAAAGACUUUACAAUUUUUAGCCACAGUAAUGUUGGAUACUGUCAGUUGUACAUAUUCUAGAUCCAAUGUCAAUUCAAUGAUCAAAUGUCACACAGAAAAAGGCUAAUUCUAUUAUAUUCAUAGUUUUUAGUAAUAAACUACACUGUCAAACAGUUAUCUGGAAAAUUAUUUAUGUUUAAAGGUCAAUGUUGUAUGAAUAUAUGAAUAUACACCAAUCAGGUAUAACAUUAUGACCACUGACAGGUGAAGUAAAUAACAUUGAUUACUUCUUCAUCACGGCACCUGUUAGUGGGUGGGAUAUAUUAGACAGCAAGUAAACAUUUUGUCCUCAAAGUUGAUGUGUUAGAAGCAGGAAAAAAGGAUUUGAGUGAGUUUGACAAUACGCUGAUUUGGAGAGACACAGAGGAGAGGAAUUGUUGAAUAAAGUCAUUAUUUUUGUUUUCUUCAUGUACAAAAACUAUUCUCGUCGCUUCAUAACGUUACCGUUUAAUCACUGAUGGGAGAUGGACUAUUCUGACGAUGGUUUUCAUACUUUUCUGGACCUUGACACUGUUAGUCACAAGCCUCCCGAUUUUCAUCCAAAAUAUCUUAAAUUGUGUUCCGAAGACAAACGAAGCAUUUACGGGUUUGGAACGACAGGGGGUAAUUUAUUAAUGACAAAAUUUUCAUUUUGCAGUGGAGAAACCGUUUAAGCUUUUGCUUAUGUUCUUCUCAAUGUAAUAUCUUGCAUAUACACCUGUUCUGUGCUGCGGAUGAAGUAUUUUCAUAUGCACAAAUCCAAUGUGAAAGCACAAAUGGCUGCAAUUUUAUAUUGAUCUCAUGCUGCCUAAGAUUGAUUUGCACUUAAAUGCUAUAGCUAUGAAUUUUCCGAUUGCUCUAAGACAGGCUUCCUCGAGGGGGUCGAACAUCAUGCAAGACUAAACGCGAUAGGAUUUAAUGUGAGUGGCCACAGGUCAAUACGGAUAUUCACACAAGGCUGUGAUGAGUUCAAUGUUUGUCAAACAUAAAUCAACACAGACAGCCCUAGGGCUAACGUACGCCAGGGAGUAGCCACAAAUCUUAGGAUACUGCAGGAGAUAAUGGAGCCGCAGCCAAGCGGGGCUUAAAGAUCCUUGAUUUGAAACGGUGCACACGUGUGAAUGACAGAAACGGGUUUUUCACAUCUGACACUCUGCAUUCGCUUCCCAUUCGGAGUCGAUAAGAUGUUUUGCAUUGGUGACGAAGCAUGAUUUCGAUAUCAAGCUUUUAAUCUUCUACAGAAGGACACAGGGAAUGAGCAUGUCAUAGCAGCCUAUUUCAGUUCCCACAAAGCUCUUCAGAGAGGAAGCAAUUUCUCAUUGAACAUGACAACUGCAUUACAUACCCACAAAAGGAAAUUGAAGCCCCAAAUUGAAUUUACCUUAUAGAGUCAAAGAUAGGUGCGCUUUGGAUACUGAUGUAAAUGCAAUCUGAAUUGUGUGUCUUUCACAUGAAGCUGUUUUAGAUACUCGCAAGUAGUUCAUCAUGUGUUUUUAUCUUUAAAUGGGCUUAUGCUGCAUUCCAGAACUUGGAUUUCUCCCACAUCCUACUUGAAAAUGAUAACUGGAAAAUCUAAUAAAUGGUCUUAAUCC
Cyprinus carpio carpio is the source of this 1917-nucleotide long non-coding RNA. The record is from Ensembl. NCBI's taxonomy places the organism in Eukaryota, Metazoa, Chordata, Actinopteri, Cypriniformes, Cyprinidae.